RNAcentral lists this small RNA (128 nucleotides) under Salmonella enterica. Its description in RNAcentral is "partial RtT sRNA". It matches the Rfam family "RtT RNA". Rfam says of the family: This family represents a bacterial cis-regulatory element known as RtT RNA. The exact function of RtT is unknown although it is thought that it may be involved in changing the cellular response in relation to amino acid starvation. The record is from RNAcentral. RNAcentral also lists the same sequence under 1 other name. Lineage: Bacteria; Pseudomonadati; Pseudomonadota; Gammaproteobacteria; Enterobacterales; Enterobacteriaceae.
CUCUCUGUACGGGAAGGAUGAGAAGCUUCGACUAAGGUUCGAUUCGAGCGUCAGCGAGAAAGCGUUGCCGCAGGCAACGACCCGAAGGGCGAAGCGCGCAGCGCUGAGUCAUCCUUCCCCCACCACCA